UGAAACCAAUAAAAAUUAAACACCAAAAUCAAGAAGUCAUCUCCAAAAACUAAAGUCUAAACACCCGCGCAAUAGCAGAAACAAAUCUUGUGUCAAACCAUUGCAAAACCCCUCCAAAAUAACCAUCAAACCUACCAAAAACUCGCGUAAUCGCACCUUGCUUCUCUUCAGCAGUUGAGCGCAAUUAAGCACAUUUAAACACCCCAAAAAUCACCACCUAGAAAACACAUACAACCCCACAAAAUCACAAUGAACUGGCUUGAAACAAGCAACAACGUCUAACAGGUAUUUGAAAAUCUCAUCAACGACAAACUCAUUGAAGAAAACCCACAAAAAAUAUAACUACCA
This 348-nucleotide long non-coding RNA is filed under the name Medicago truncatula (barrel medic). RNAcentral describes it as "long non-coding RNA (MTRU_LNC002964)". The record is from RNAcentral. Lineage: Eukaryota; Viridiplantae; Streptophyta; Magnoliopsida; Fabales; Fabaceae.